AGCGCGGCUGCCUUCAGUGCGCAUGCGCUGCGCCUGCCCUUCCGCACGCAGCCCUCUGCAGGGGGCCCGGCGUCCUGUGGGUGCAGCUGCUGGGGGCGGCGCGGUGGAGGAGCCCCGCAGAAGCUCUGAGUACGCAGGCGCGGGGCAGCCCGGCGCGGCAGCAGUCGCCCGUUCCCCGCAUCGCGGCCUGGCAGCACGGCUCUGCGCGCAUUUUGCUCUGCCUCCCGGCAUGAACGGACUGUUUGGCGUGGGCCCCUGGUGUUGUCUGAGAAGCAGUUUCAAGGAAGAGUUGUGCAGGGUGAUAGAGGAAAGCUGGGGAACACUGUAAGAAGGUGGUGGGCGAGCCUUAAGGUGGCACCUAAAACUGAUGGGGGCUGGGCAGGCAGGAUGUCAAGGAAACGGAGUGUGAGAAUGGCAUUCAGUAUGGGUUGCAUGCGGGCUGCCUUUGGGAUUGGAUGUGCAUUUGAGGCGCUGUGAGGGAUGGCGAGUGUCCAAGUCCGGAAUGGGCACAGAGCAGGUGA
Non-coding RNA from Phalacrocorax carbo (great cormorant), 521 nucleotides. Lineage: Eukaryota; Metazoa; Chordata; Aves; Suliformes; Phalacrocoracidae. The record is from RefSeq and is a predicted model, not a curated record.